RNAcentral lists this transfer RNA (91 nucleotides) under Acholeplasma laidlawii. RNAcentral's name for it is "tRNA-Ser(gct)". It matches the Rfam family "tRNA". Rfam says of the family: Transfer RNA (tRNA) molecules are approximately 80 nucleotides in length. Their secondary structure includes four short double-helical elements and three loops (D, anti-codon, and T loops). Further hydrogen bonds mediate the characteristic L-shaped molecular structure. tRNAs have two regions of fundamental functional importance: the anti-codon, which is responsible for specific mRNA codon recognition, and the 3' end, to which the tRNAs corresponding amino acid is attached (by aminoacyl-tRNA synthetases). tRNAs cope with the degeneracy of the genetic code in two manners: having more than one tRNA (with a specific anti-codon) for a particular amino acid; and 'wobble' base-pairing, i.e. permitting non-standard base-pairing at the 3rd anti-codon position. Lineage: Bacteria; Bacillati; Mycoplasmatota; Mollicutes; Acholeplasmatales; Acholeplasmataceae. RNAcentral also lists the same sequence under 1 other name. The record is from RNAcentral.
GGAGCGAUACUCAAGAGGCCGAAGAGGGCGCACUGCUAACGCGUUAGACGGUUAACCCCGUGCGAGGGUUCAAAUCCCUCUCGCUCCGCCA